This 719-nucleotide ribosomal RNA is filed under the name uncultured Lachnospiraceae bacterium. RNAcentral describes it as "bacterial SSU rRNA". It matches the Rfam family "Bacterial small subunit ribosomal RNA", at positions 62 to 782 of the family's 1533-position model. Lineage: Bacteria; Bacillati; Bacillota; Clostridia; Lachnospirales; Lachnospiraceae. The record is from RNAcentral.
UCGAGCGAAGCACUUAGGAAAGAUUCUUCGGAUGAUUUCCUAUUUGACUGAGCGGCGGACGGGUGAGUAACGCGUGGGUAACCUGCCUCAUACAGGGGGAUAACAGUUAGAAAUGACUGCUAAUACCGCAUAAGACCACAGCACUGCAUGGUGCAGGGGUAAAAACUCCGGUGGUAUGAGAUGGACCCGCGUCUGAUUAGUUAGUUGGUGGGGUAACGGCCUACCAAGGCGACGAUCAGUAGCCGACCUGAGAGGGUGACCGGCCACAUUGGGACUGAGACACGGCCCAAACUCNUACGGGAGGCAGCAGUGGGGAAUAUUGCACAAUGGGGGAAACCCUGAUGCAGCGACGCCGCGUGAGCGAAGAAGUAUUUCGGUAUGUAAAGCUCUAUCAGCAGGGAAGAAAAUGACGGUACCUGACUAAGAAGCCCCGGCUAACUACGUGCCAGCAGCCGCGGUAAUACGUAGGGGGCAAGCGUUAUCCGGAUUUACUGGGUGUAAAGGGAGCGUGGACGGAGCAGCAAGUCUGAUGUGAAACCCGGGGCUCAACUCCGGGACUGCAUUGGAAACUGUUGAUCUGGAGUGCCGGAGAGGUAAGCGGAAUUCCUAGUGUAGCGGUGAAAUGCGUAGAUAUUAGGAGGAACACCAGUGGCGAAGGCGGCUUACUGGACGGUAACUGACGUUGAGGCUCGAAAGCGUGGGGAGCAAACAGGAUUAGA